Molecule: long non-coding RNA, 800 nt
Organism: Hemicordylus capensis (graceful crag lizard)
Lineage: Eukaryota; Metazoa; Chordata; Lepidosauria; Squamata; Cordylidae
Exons: 4
Source: RefSeq, a predicted model, not a curated record
GAUCUGCUUGCUAUAGGGCUUUGAUAUGGAGCGGGGAGAGACUGAGAAGUCUCUGAAUAUCUUCUAUAUUAUUAAUCCCCGUAGACGUGCCUCUGUGGGGAUGCGUCCCGGCAACCCAGUGGAUUGGCUGGGAAGCCGAGGCGCCGGAUUGGCUGGGCGGUGGAGCUCACGCACGGCAGGAUUCAUGAGACUGUUGAGCUGCUGCCCAGGGAAAUGGCGGACGGCGGCGGGACCAGCCGUGGCGGGCACUGUGCACCGGCAGUGUGAGGAAGCGGCAGCAGGAGCAAACGGGCCAGCAAGCCGUAUGGUUGAGCUCUAGAUUGGCUCCUCUCUUCUGGACUUCUGUUGGCCGUUGAAAAGUGAGUUCUUCUCCUGAGCCUUGGAGGGGUGGGGAGAGAGAGAGAUCAGGAUGUAAGGGAACCAGAAUUUAAGGUCUAUCAAAGGGGGUGAUUCUUUCCUAUACCCACUGUAUCCUUUUGGGGGGUGACCUUUGUUUUCAACUGUGUGCAGUGCAAUUCUAUAUAUGCUUACUCUGAGGCAAUUCCAGCUGUGCUCCAAUGGAUUAAUUCCCAGGUAACCGUACAUGUUAUUGUACCAUUAAUCCUGUCUGUGUCUAGUGGUUUAUUACUAGAAAUAAUAAUAGCUGUAGCUGGACACCAAUAGCAGCUUAAGCUCAGGGAAAUAUUAUGUGCUUUGCUAUAAUUAAAUUUUGGUUGUGCGGCACCACUCAAAAACAGAGAAAUGUACAGAUAAAGAACACUUGAUGAGAAACAAAAUGUUUCCGAUUAAUAAAGUUUAUU